GAGACUGUCACCUUCACUAAAGUUGGAACGAUACAGAGAAUAUUAGCAUGACCCCUGUGCAACGUUGACACCCUUUACUCGAUAAUUGGUCUAAUUUUUU
Small nuclear RNA from Arabidopsis thaliana (thale cress), 100 nucleotides. NCBI's taxonomy places the organism in Eukaryota, Viridiplantae, Streptophyta, Magnoliopsida, Brassicales, Brassicaceae. The record is from Rfam.